This 813-nucleotide ribosomal RNA is filed under the name uncultured bacterium. Its description in RNAcentral is "bacterial SSU rRNA". It matches the Rfam family "Bacterial small subunit ribosomal RNA", at positions 45 to 848 of the family's 1533-position model. The record is from RNAcentral.
GGCUUAACACAUGCAAGUCGAGGGGAAACGACAUCGAAAGCUUGCUUUUGAUGGGCGUCGACCGGCGCACGGGUGAGUAACGCGUAUCCAACCUGCCCACCACUUGGGGAUAACCUUGCGAAAGUAAGACUAAUACCCAAUGACGUCUCUAGAAGACAUCUGAAAGAGAUUAAAGAUUUAUCGGUGAUGGAUGGGGAUGCGUCUGAUUAGCUUGUUGGCGGGGUAACGGCCCACCAAGGCGACGAUCAGUAGGGGUUCUGAGAGGAAGGUCCCCCACAUUGGAACUGAGACACGGUCCAAACUCCUACGGGAGGCAGCAGUGAGGAAUAUUGGUCAAUGGACGAGAGUCUGAACCAGCCAAGUAGCGUGCAGGAUGACGGCCCUAUGGGUUGUAAACUGCUUUUAUAAGGGAAUAAAGUGAGUCUCGUGAGACUUUUUGCAUGUACCUUAUGAAUAAGGACCGGCUAAUUCCGUGCCAGCAGCCGCGGUAAUACGGAAGGUCCGGGCGUUAUCCGGAUUUAUUGGGUUUAAAGGGAGCGUAGGCCGGAGAUUAAGCGUGUUGUGAAAUGUAGAUGCUCAACAUCUGCACUGCAGCGCGAACUGGUUUCCUUGAGUACGCACAAAGUGGGCGGAAUUCGUGGUGUAGCGGUGAAAUGCUUAGAUAUCACGAAGAACUCCGAUUGCGAAGGCAGCUCACUGGAGCGCAACUGACGCUGAAGCUCGAAAGUGCGGGUAUCGAACAGGAUUAGAUACCCUGGUAGUCCGCACGGUAAACGAUGGAUGCCCGCUGUUGGUCUGAAUAGGUCAGCGGCC